AUGACAUUUCUUUAUUUAGCUAAAGUAUUAAAACAAAAAGUCCCUGCUCCUAUAUAUCAUGACUUGUGAGAAUAGUGAUCCAACUAAGCUUUGCUGGAGAUGAAUUCCACUUCAUUUCUUAAUCCCAUUUGUUGUGGAAGAGGUGGGAUGCUUUGUUCGUGUCUGAAGAAAUUAUCAGGAUCAACUUUGGUCUUCACAUGCACCAACCUGUAGAAGUUAUCCUUGAAGUAGUUGGUACCAAAAGCACUCGCUUCGACAAAACUUGUUUUAGAAUUUCUGUUCAUGCCCAAAUCAAGAUCCCUGUAAUUAGCAUAUGCUUCCCUAGGAUUCUUUGAGACAUAAGGUGUCAUGUAACUGUAAACCUUCCUAGUCCAAUUUAUAUGCUUUGCAACGUUUUCCGUUGCAUCUUGCCAACUGGACCAGUAAAGGAUCAUGAACUUGGUACCGUUUCUAUGAGGGAAAGGAGUCUGAGAUUCUGAAAUUUGGUUCAUCAUCCCACCAUAAGGAGUAAACACUACUAGAGGACUCUCUGCUUCAAAUAACUUCUCCCACAACCCUUCAAGUGCCUUUUCAGGUAUGGGUUUUCUGGCAUAGUCAGAUUUGCCUUUGAAGUAGGCCCUGUCCAUGUUAAUUCUUUGAAGGAAAACUUCAGGAGNNNNNNNNNNNNNNNNNNNNNNNNNNNNNNNNNNNNNNNNNNNNNNNNNNNNNNNNNNNNNNNNNNNNNNNNNNNNNNNNNNNNNNNNNNNNNNNNNNNNNNNNNNNNNNNNNNNNNNNNNNNNNNNNNNNNNNNNNNNNNNNNNNNNNNNNNNNNNNNNNNNNNNNNNNNNNNNNNNNNNNNNNNNNNNNNNNNNNNNNNNNNNNNNNNNNNNNNNNNNNNNNNNNNNNNNNNNNNNNNNNNNNNNNNNNNNNNNNNNNNNNNNNNNNNNNNNNNNNNNNNNNNNNNNNNNNGUAAUAGCUAGUUGAAUAAAAUUAUUAAUAUUAAAAAAUAAAUUUAAAAUAAUAUUUAAAUAUGCACACUGACCAACUAAACUAUUUGCAUGCAAAUUUGUUGUCAUAUGAAAUAAAUAAAUAUAUCAUGUGGAAUAAAUAAAUAUACUAACCUGCUUCAAUUUAUUAUAAUUUUAGAGUUUUAAUGAUGGAGAAAUAUAUCAUAUUAUAUAGUCCAAGAUUCAACGGAUCAUCUAAUAUAUAUAUAUAUACCAGAUUUGAACCUCCAACAUUUAAAUUUUUUGCUUUUCUCAGAAAUUCUGUAGGAAAGUUCGCCAUUCGUGGCUCCCGCCUGAACCCACGCGCUGUUGUGCUCAAUCAACGCUGAUAGACCGUAGCUUUGCAAGGUCUACAACAAUGAAAGAUGUCUCAAUUUCUGAUACAUAAGAGAGUCCCUCAUAAUCAUGGCCUCCGCUACGGACUCUAAUGUGAAUUCCAAGCUGCUUAGAGCAAAUAACAACAGCUUGGAUGUGAGAUUCUUGUAAAGGAGUGAAGAUAAACUCGGGUUUCGGUACUGGAGGCAAGGUGAACCUGAGGUUUUGAGCAGAAGAUUGUAAGACACUAGUGAAAGAAGAGUUUUGUGGAGCAUACAAGACAGUGGAAAAAGGAAAGGAGUAGGACCACAAGUAUUGAAAGUAUGGAAGAUCUUGAAGGCACCAUUUUUCCUGCUUUCUUGCCUCUCUGGCUUGCCUUUAAGAAUUGAUGUCUCAAGGAGUUCUUUUAUAGAGGAGCUAUGAACAAUCAACAGGAAAUUAAAUUAUUUUGUAGCUCGUUUUGUGCAGUGAGAUAUUUACUUGUGAUAUUACAAUGGGAUUAUAUAAAUUUGAAUGAUUCAUAUUCCAUGCAAUAUAGUCAAACUUUUAGACUUUAAAUGUUUAAUUAAUUAAACACAUCUUCCAAUCAUAUUAUACAUAUCAUUAUAGCUAAAGUGAAUAAAUCAAAAAAUUGAGGAUUGAUUUGGAAAUUAACAUAUUUUGGCAUCAUUUUCUUUAAAAUGAAACGACGUGUUUUGUUCAAAACGACACACUUUCAUGUACUGUUUUGAACGACAUUGUAUAUCUUUUUCUUCCCUGACGUGCAAAGGCAAGGGAAGAAGGUUUUUCUUCCCCUCCUUUGCAGCACCCAUAUUCCCUCUUUCUCCCUCUCCCCACUUGUCCAAACCCUGACACAACUCACACCCCUCACCUGCCACCAUGAUGAAGAUUGGACAAGGAAGCGAUACUCUGCAGCUGAGGCGACUGCACAGAGGCCACCCCAGCCACCCUACCUUGUCUCCAUGAUUCGACAAAGGUAGGGUAGCUCCCGCUUCCCCUAUCAUAUAAAUACCCCACUCAACAAGCCGAGAGCAGGGGGGAAAGAAAAACGGGGGAAACAGAAAAGAGAGACGAAAGAGAGAGAAGGAGGGAAGAAAAAGAACAAAACAAACCAAAGGAAAAAAAAUAGAGAAACAGAGACAGAGAGGAGAGAAACAGAGGGAUUGGGAAGGAACAAGAAGCAAAGGAAAAGGAAAGACAGAAAAAGGGUGGAGAAAUAAAGAAAAAAAAACCGAGGGAAGAAGAAACACACAAAAACAAAGGAAAAAAAGAAGAAGAAUCGUCGUUUGGAACAACCAUCCACCACGACAUCAUCGUCACCGAGAGCCACCAGCACCGUCAAUGCCGUCAGUAGGUCAGCCCCCCUCUUCUCCUUCUUCUUCUGCUCAUUUUCUCGUGUCUACUGCCUUGUAGAGCGAACAGUGAAGAGUUGCUCCACUGUUAACUAGGUCGAACAACGCCGAUCCAGAUCAAAAUGGAUGGGCCGGGUCCUGCCCAAUCCGAAAGGAAAAAAAACAUCUGGUGGGCCAAAUCGAGCCAACCCCAAUACCUUGGGCCGAACUCAGCGUAAUUUAUUCUGGGCUGAUUUCGGCCCAGUCAGGAUGGGCUCAGCCAAAUGUAAUUGGGCUAAGCCAAUCCCAAUAUAUUGGUAUAAUAAUGUUAUAUAAUAUAAUAUUAUAUAUUAAAAAAAAGUUUUUUUUAAAAAAAUUCUAAAUCCUUUGAAAAACUUCUUUGGGAUUUUCUCACAAGUUUUUUUUUAUCAUUUUGGGUUCAUAUCGAUUUGUAUUUGUAUACUGUAAAGAUAUAGAUCUGAUAAUAAAAUAUCUGGUUUUGUUUGAAAUAUUGCAAAAAAAUUAUAUCAAAAACAAAAAAAAAUAUUUUUUUUCAUGCAUACGGCCAACUCUGUCAAAAAAUAAAAAAACAUCAUAUUGUACUUUCAUACAACAAAAACAAUUACAGAAAAUGUUUAGCAUGUAUUUUGGCUUUAAUAACCAGUUUAUUAAAGUCAUGAGAAGUAAGCCAACAUUUUAAAAAUACCCAAAAAAUAUUUUUAUUUUUUUAGUAACUGGGAUUCUGAAUUUAUAUGUAAAACGUAUUCCCGAUGUUAAAAUGUAUUUUUUUAUAGACAUUAGAACGGUUAGGUUCUUACCUAAUAAGAUAAGGACCUCUUUACCGAGCAGGACUUUUCUUAACUCAUAGACAGACCAAUAAUUAGAAAACACAACAAGACCUUAGUUUUUUUUAUUAAACGAUAAACAAUGCAGCUUACCUUAGGUAGGGCUUAUUAGGGGUGCUAAUACAUUCCCUUUAUGCAACCAGUCUUCAUGCCCGAUCCCUGAGACCAGUUAGGGUUUCUGAUGAUCAAAAUACUAGGUGGCGACUCUCAUUUCCCUUUUUCAUGGAUGAAAGACAAGAAAUCCUUGUCUACUCUAUUUUUCAAUUUCCAAAUACUUAAAAGAGUGGACGAUUGUUGCGAUGCCGCACACGUGUGACAGACCACAUGGACCACCAAGGGUUAACAAUAACUGCUCAUACAAUCACCUAAGUUGAGUCGUCAUGUACCAAAGUUAAGCCAUCUCAGAACUAAGCUGGGAUGUCUGAGCCUUAACUUAUUCUCGUACAAUCGCCUAGAUGACUAAAGAUUGGGGGCGUAAACCCAAUUACGAGGAACAAAAGGUCGAUACACUAGGACUCAUCUGUAUAUCCUUAAUCAUAGUGUUAGAGAUACCAUAAAUUCAAUUUAUAUCGAGUCCACCAGACGAUCCAGCGUCCAACCACAAAUCCAAAUCGAGUUUUGGAUGGGUCGAAGGAUCAUCCUUGUAUCUCUCCUGCAAACGGGUAUUAUAUGUUUCCUGAAAAAAGAAAAAAAACAAUCAACAAAUUAAAAAAAUAAUAACAUAAUAAAAAAAAUUGUUAAAAUUCAAUUUACCAUGAACUUUUGAGCUUGGCUAUCCACAAGCUAUUAUACCCCUUUCCAUCAGUUGUCAUUUUGCAUGUGAGUUUUAACAAAAAGAUUUAUCGGUCUUGGAUCAUGUCCAAGAACUGUAACCUGCAAAAGAGAGUUACUGUUUGUUAAACAUUAAAUAUUUUAUAUAAAACAACAAUCUAAAAAAAAUAUACAUAAUAAAACAAUAUCUUACCAUCCUCUUUACAAGCGAAAUGAACAAAAUGAAUUUAGUAAGAGUUUAGACACAUGUCAAUUAACUAGUAUUCUAGGCCAAAGGGUUUCAUCAUGGAUUUAGCAGUAUAUAAGUUCGCUUUCAGCCUAUUCCCUUUAGAUAAAAUGCUUCUUGUUCAUUCGAUCAUUUUGUCGUAACCGCCCUAGCUCAACCCAUGAUCUAACUUAAUGGUGAACACCUGUGCAACAAUCGAUAAUUUACUAUGAUUUGUGGAACCAUACCAUAAUGGUUCGUCAAAAUCUUUCAAUUAGUUCUUCAUCUACAAUUGAACAUUCACAUGCAUUACCCUAAUUCAUUCUCAUUGCAUCCAUAAUCAUACUCCUAUAACGAUUAUUAUUAUCAUUUACAAUUCCAUUAUUGCUAGAACUAAAAGUCGACCCAAGCAUCCUUUAUACCAUGAUCUUGUACAGAACAUAUGAUUCUACAUGUGCAAACCAACACAAGUACUUCUUUAAGCACUUUUUUUUUCUAGAAGAUGUAUCGUAAUAACAUCUAGAUCGAGAAACUUUUAUUUUUACACCUUUUACAUGGAAAUUUAAUACCGCAUCCACUAAUAUUUUUGGAUUAGAUAGUGUGUAUUUAAUAAAACGCUUAACCCCAUUAUAAUAAUUUAUUUCGCGCAACCUUUAAGGUGAAACUCGAUACAUCCAAGGACGAUCGACAAUUACAUAUAUGAAACCUAUAUAGAAUAUUAAUGACAACAUGUAUUAAUUAAUAAUGUGAACUAAAGAAAUUAUCGAUGCCCAACUAAUUAACUAUCAUUAGUUUAACUCAAAUUUAUUCACUCUAUUUUAACAGUACCCUUAAAUCAUUAUUAAUUUUCUACAAAAGCUCAAAUUCCUUCAAAUUUGUUGAGAUUUUCAAUUUAACAAAAAAUUGAUAAAAUAUGAAAUGUACCUAUUAAAUAAGCCAUUAUUUAUGUCAUCAUGUAAUUUUUUAUUCUUUCUUUAUUUUUGUGUAGUAAAAAACUAAAUGAAAUUAUGGAAAAAAUAAAAUGAAAGAAGAAUAAAUUGAAAUUUGGUUCAAGACAACACAAAUUAAAAGCUUUGAGUAUUAAUGAGGGUGAAAUUAUAAAUCUAGGAGUUAAUUUUGGUAGAAAUUCAAAGAAUUAAUAAGUUUAGAGACUUAAUUGAACUUUGAAUAGUUUAAUUAAUGAAAUCAGGGGCUUAAUUGAAGAAAUACCAAUGUUUGGGGGCUGAUUUGGGUCAAAAUUGCAAGAAUUGAAGUCCAAGGACCAAAGUGAAAAUUCAGGGGUACAAUAGGUAGUUUAAUUGAUUUUUUCAAGGGUAAUUUUGAAAGAAUUAAAAGUUAAAGAGUCAAUUAAGAACUGAAUUAGAAACUAAGGACUCUUUUGUAAAUAGCGUUGGAAUGCAAGGGUCCAAUUGCAAUUAAUCCAGGAGCAAAAAAAAAAAUAUAAUGAAGAAGAAAUUUCCUUAAAUAAGGGCCUGAUUGAAAGAUAUCAGAACUUCAGUGUCCAAAUUGAAGAAUGACCAACUCAGUCGAAAACAAUAUUGUUUCUACAUGUACUGUUUCUUCUUCUUGUUCCUCUGGAACUGAAAAUCCGCCUACGAAAAAGGGAAAGAAGAGUGAAAUGAUGGUGUCCCCAUCCUACCCAACACCACAGCCAAGGUCACCCCAUAUGGCUGGGCUAGAUCCAACCAAAAAAUGACAGAUAUUUGUUGUUUCUAUCAUAGAAAAUUAAAGGCCACCAUGAUGUCUCUGUGUGACAAUUUAUUUUAUUAUAAAACACAUAAGUUACAAAAUCAAACUCAUUUUCAUCAAAUGACAAACAAAUAUAAUUUUUUAAAAUUUCAAACAAACCAUAACAUGCACAAAUCAUAUAAUAAAUUUAUAUGGAAAAACGCUAUAAAACAAGUAAACACACAAACGAAUUACAUAUACUACAUCAAAAUGCAAAAAAAAAAAAUCAAUAUUUUGAAAAUGGAUUACAAAAAAAAAAAAAAGGUAGUUUUGUUACUUGAUGUGGUGAAUAUUCAAAAAACAUUGAACCAGAAUAGGGUUACUGACAAACUUAGUGUUGGGGUGACUAGAUUCAUAAUGAUGAUAGCUUGAUUUGUGACAAAAUAUGUGGGUAUUGUGUGUUGUUUUCUACAAAAUGAAAAGGAAGAAGAAGAAAUUAGGGAGGAGGAGAGGAGGGUUGUCUAUCAAGAUAUAACAUAAAUAUUAUCGACAGACGACGAGUAUUAAUAAAGAGUAUAUUUUCUCGGUAAUUCCAUUUGUAAUAAUGGCACUUUAUUUUUUUCAUUCAUUCAUUUCUUACUGUAUUUUUCUUAGUAUUCACCGAUGAAAAAUUUAUAUCAGUAUAUACUGAGAGAAAUAGCGAGGAAAUAUUCCGUUAAUAAAAGUCAUUGUGAUUUAUUGACGAGUUUUUUUUUUUAGUAUUUCUAUUUAUAUUUGACAAUUUUCUAAUUGUGAUAUAUAUUGGACAAUGAACCGUGAAUCGCUGUCUCUCUUCUAAUUUAAUUUUAAUUUUGUAAGUUUGAUGAAAACAGUGGCAAAACCGCCAAACCUCAAGAAUGGUGUUUCCUUGUGAUCAUUUUUAUUUUAAACAUUUUUCAACAUUCUUCCUCAACAAAUUGGACUAUUUAAUGCAAAGCUUUUAUUUAUAAUAAAAAAACCGCAAGACAGCAUAAUUGCACAGCAUGACAUUUCUUUAUUUAGCUAAAGUAUUAAAACAAAAGGUCCCUGCUCCUAUCAUGACUUGUGAGAAUAGUGAUCCAACUAAGCUUUGCUGGAGAUGAAUUCCACUUCAUUUCUUAAUCCCAUUUGUUGUGGAAGAGGUGGGAUGCUUUGUUCGUGUCUGAAGAAAUUAUCAGGAUCAACUUUGGUCUUCACAUGCACCAACCUGUUGAAGUUAUCCUUGAAGUAGUUGGUACCAAAAGCACUCGCUUCGACAAAACUUGUUUUAGAAUUUCUGUUCAUGCCCAAAU
RNAcentral lists this long non-coding RNA (7431 nucleotides) under Populus trichocarpa (black cottonwood). Its description in RNAcentral is "long non-coding RNA (PTRI_LNC002816)". Lineage: Eukaryota; Viridiplantae; Streptophyta; Magnoliopsida; Malpighiales; Salicaceae. The record is from RNAcentral.